RNAcentral lists this ribosomal RNA (459 nucleotides) under uncultured bacterium. RNAcentral's name for it is "partial 16S ribosomal RNA". It matches the Rfam family "Bacterial small subunit ribosomal RNA", at positions 339 to 795 of the family's 1533-position model. The record is from RNAcentral.
CUACGGGUCGCACCAGUGAGGAAUAUUGGUCAAUGGGCGCGAGCCUGAACCAGCCAUCCCGCGUGCAGGAUGACGGCCCUAUGGGUUGUAAACUGCUUUUCUAUGCCAAGAAACCUGAUUACGUGUAAUCAGUUGCCGGUAGCAUAGGAAUAAGCAUCGGCUAACUCCGUGCCAGCAGCCGCGGUAAUACGGAGGAUGCAAGCGUUAUCCGGAUUCAUUGGGUUUAAAGGGUGCGCAGGUGGGCUUGUAAGUCAGUGGUGAAAUGCUGCCGCUUAACGGUAGAACUGCCAUUGAUACUGCGAGUCUUGAGUAUGGUUGAGGUAGGCGGAAUGUGUUGUGUAGCGGUGAAAUGCAUAGAUAUGACACAGAACGCCAAUUGCGAAGGCAGCUUACUAAGCCAUUACUGACGCUGAGGCACGAAAGCGUGGGGAGCGAACAGGAUUAGAUACCCCCGUAGUC